Molecule: ribosomal RNA, 244 nt
Filed under: Escherichia coli
Lineage: Bacteria; Pseudomonadati; Pseudomonadota; Gammaproteobacteria; Enterobacterales; Enterobacteriaceae
Description: partial 23S ribosomal RNA
Rfam family: Bacterial large subunit ribosomal RNA
Source: RNAcentral
AAGCAGGUCAUAGUGAUCCGGUGGUUCUGAAUGGAAGGGCCAUCGCUCAACGGAUAAAAGGUACUCCGGGGAUAACAGGCUGAUACCGCCCAAGAGUUCAUAUCGACGGCGGUGUUUGGCACCUCGAUGUCGGCUCAUCACAUCCUGGGGCUGAAGUAGGUCCCAAGGGUAUGGCUGUUCGCCAUUUAAAGUGGUACGCGAGCUGGGUUUAGAACGUCGUGAGACAGUUCGGUCCCUAUCUGCC